This 252-nucleotide ribosomal RNA is filed under the name uncultured bacterium. Its description in RNAcentral is "partial 16S ribosomal RNA". It matches the Rfam family "Bacterial small subunit ribosomal RNA", at positions 524 to 776 of the family's 1533-position model. The record is from RNAcentral.
UACGGAGGGGGCUAGCGUUGUUCGGAAUUACUGGGCGUAAAGCGCACGUAGGUGGCUUUGUAAGUUAGAGGUGAAAGCCCGGGGCUCAACUCCGGAAUUGCCUUUAAGACUGCAUCGCUAGAACGUCGGAGAGGUAAGUGGAAUUCCGAGUGUAGAGGUGAAAUUCGUAGAUAUUCGGAAGAACACCAGUGGCGAAGGCGGCUUCCUGGUCCAGCACCGACGUUCAGGCACGAAGCGUGGGGAGCAAACAGG